CAUUGUUUCCAGUUUCCACUAAUGGCAGCUAUUACCUAACCAGUGAGUGCCACAGGCCGUUUGCUAUUCACAAAGAGGAAAAAGCUUCCAAGAGUGAAUCUUAACUUUUCACACUAAGGCUUACUUAUCUAUUUCUCCUUUUGAAGACAUCCCUUCUUACCAGCUUUCCUGGUUGGAAUUAAACUGCUUCGAAUGUUCACUCUCAGGUUCUAGCCCGGGCAACUAUUACUCCAAGACAAGAUGUAUUUGGUUCUUCUGGGGAUGCUUUGGUUCUGUCCAAGUCUAAAAGGUCAAGAAAACUCUUUCACUAUCAACUCGAUUGAGAUAAAAGCAGAGCCAGGCUGGGAGGUGGAGAACGGGAAGAACCUAACCUUGAAUUGUCUCUUCGACAUAAGCGCCACGUCCAAGCUUCAGUCUCCGCGCCGGGUUCUCUUUUAUAAGGAUGAUAUCCUGAUCAAGAACGUCACCUCCUGGAAUAAAAAAGAGAGCUUUUUUAUUCAGGCUGCUCGACUGUAUGACCGAGGGAACUAUAAAUGUACUGUGAUUCUGAAUAACAAGGAGAAAACCACAAAAGAUUAUUCAGUUUCAGUAAAAGGAGUACCAAGUCCCAGGAUUACAGUGGACAAGAUAGAAGUGAUGGAAGGAGGGGUGGUGAAAGUUGGGUGCUCUGUUCCUGAAGAGAAGCCUCCAAUAUAUUUUAUCAUCGAAAAACUGGAUAUGCAUGUCUUUAAACAAAGAAAAGAAAAAAUGAAACUACAUGAAAAUUUUGUGACUCUGGACUUCCCAAUAGAAGAACGAGACCAUGUUUUAGUUUUUCAAUGCCAGGCCAAGAUCUCUUUUGGGAGUUUCCUGGAGGCCUCAGAAUUCAGCAGGAGUGACUGGGUCACUGUGAGGGAGCCUUUUUCAAUCCCCAAAUUCCAAAUAACACCUGAAGGAGAGAUUACAGAAGGUGACCCCCUCAAACUCGAGUGCACAAUUCUUGUGGCCCCCAUGUUUCUGGAAGAACCUGAAAUCAUCAUCCAGAAAGGCAGGGAGAUUUUGGCCUCUGCCAAACAUGGGACAGAAGUUAGUUACACUCCCUCGUUAGCCAAAGUGGAACACAUUGGGAACUACACCUGCAAAGUAGAAUCUGGCAAGAUAUCUAAAGUCAACAGCGUUUUCAUCAAUAUCACAGAGUUAUUUUCCAAACCCGAGCUGCUGGUUUCUUCCAACCAUCUGGAUGAAGGAGGGAAGCUAGACUUGUCUUGUCAGAUUGAAGGGUCGCUUCCUGCCAACUUUACCAUCCAGAAGGAAAAUACAACAAUAAUAAAUUCUCAGAAUUUUACGAAAAGGGUCUGGGUACAUGACAGUGGGACAUACAGAUGUCUUGGUACAAUCCACAAUGUCAUCAAGGAAAGUGAUCCAGUUCAAAUAUCUGUUUUUGAAAUUGUCUCCAAGCCCAAGAUUUUUCAUAACUCAGCAUCUGAAGUAAUAACAGGGAAGCUCUUAGAAAUCUACUGCCAGUCAACAAAUGGGACACCACCUAUUAUGUACUAUCUUUGUAAAAUGAACUUAUGUGCAAAUCAGAAAGAAAUGUACUCCAAUGAACCAGUUAAAUUCUUGGACACGCCCACUGCAAACACAGAAUAUACUUGCAUUGCUAAAAACCACCAUUCCCAAGGGACAAUGGAUAGUGAUGUUCUGAAUGUUGUGGUCAUCGCUCCAGUUGCCAAGGUCAACUUAUCCAUUCUGCUCCAUGAAGAAGUAGUAAGUGGGAAAGAGGUUGUACUCCGGUGCAGCACAGAUGGAGGGUCUUGGCCAAUUCACUAUAAGUUUUACAGACAUAACUCUAUGGUCCCUUUUGCCACAAUAACCUUAAAUGACACCCAAGCGAUAUGGCAUACUUUACAGGCCAGGAAGGAGGAUGAAGGACAGUACUACUGUACAGCUGCCAACAGAGCCAACAUCCAUAGUGGGGUCCCAAAGAGUAACAUUAUUACUAUCAAAGUCGCUCUUGCUCCAUGGAUGAAGAGUCUAAUUGCAGUGGUCAUCAUUGGUGCCAUAAUCACUGCAUUGGUUCUUCUGAUCAGAUGGUACUUUAAGAAAACAAAGGCAAAGCAGAUGCCAGUGGAGAUGUCCAGGCCAGAACCACCCCUGAACUCUAAUACUGAGAAGAUUCAAUCUGAUACCAAUGUGGAAGCCAACAGUCACUCUGGUUACAAUGAUGAUAUUGGGAACCAUACAGUGAAACCAACAAAUGAACAUAAAGAGCCUGAUCAUUUGAAAAUGGAUGUGGAAUACACUGAAGUAGAAGUCUUGACGCCUGAUCUUCCCAGAGGGAUAUAAUUUUUGCUCUGAGGACUGCUUUAGCUGCAUCUCAGAAAAUUUGCUCCUGAAAGGAAAGGAACUGAUACUGUUUACAGUGAAAUCAGAAAGGCUGAUUCAGGGGAGAACAGGCAUUCUAGAAUAGAAGGCUCCCUUGAUGCAACUUAGAAAACCAAUUACAGACAUGGAUCCCUGAUGUUCCAAGAAGGAUGAACAGAUAUUUUCCAUGUAUCCCAAGAGGACUGUAGCACUUCAUGAAUCUGAUGAUCUCCUCUUACAAACAGCAAUUUUCUCAGGCCAAAUCAUCAUUUUUCAAAUCUAUCCCUGAUCCUUCUGAGUGAGUGUGUGUGUGUGUGUGUGUGUGUGUGUGUGUGUGUGUUGUUAAUGUGUUACAAAGAUUCUAGAGAAAGAAAAGUGCUGCUAGAAAUCCUGGGUCCCAUUCUAUUUCACACUUCAGUCUUCUCUGGGGGAGUUGGGGGUUCUAUUGUCACUGCUUCCCAGAUCUUGGGGAAAACGGAACAGAAAUAGAAGGUUCAUUGUUCAUGGUCCAUUGGGGGUCUUUUGAAACUUGAAUAUUUUGUCUUGUACAGAGAUAGAGAACUUUACAAUGUGUCUACAUAAACAGAAACAUUUCUAAUUUUAUGAUAAACUACCUGUUCUAGAUGAAGGUCCUAAAGUUUUGAAGCCUAAUUUUUCACAUGUUCCUUGUGUUCAAAGAGUUCAUUGUUCUAUGCAAACUUUGUCUCCUGAAAUACAUAAUGAAGAUCAGACCAUAGAAAGGUGGCUCCUUCUGAUAUGCUUACAUUCUGGAGCUAAAAAGUCAAGCUCUUGGCAAUGGAAAAUGAUUCUUUGGGAAUGUAACAGGGUGGAGACAGGGAUCUUGUGGAACAGGGCAAGCAUUUAAAAAGUAAACUGAAUGAAACUCAGACACUCUUAAGCAUGUUUCUUUACUCCUUUUCUUCCCCCCCCCUCAAUUCAAUUCAGGCUGGAAGACAGAAACUAUCAUAGAAGGAGCUUCCACAAAUAUUUUUCUUUUAGCAAAUCUAAAUUUCUUACUAAUUCUUUUUCUUUAAUUUAUUCCUUGCUACAGAAAUUCUUGCUUACAUCACCAAAUUAUUUCAUAUGGUGUUUAAGAUGGCAGAUGCCCUUCUACAGUUUUGCUCUGGAACUCCAUCUGCAAACCUAAUUAGAGCUGCUUCCCUCUCCUGUGUGACUAUAGGUCUGAUGGGAAGGAGGAGGGGAAGAGUGUUUAUUGAAAUAAACUUGAACUUUCCUUCAGA
Monodelphis domestica (gray short-tailed opossum) is the source of this 3584-nucleotide RNA transcript. It is a transcript of the gene named platelet and endothelial cell adhesion molecule 1, with no coding region annotated. NCBI's taxonomy places the organism in Eukaryota, Metazoa, Chordata, Mammalia, Didelphimorphia, Didelphidae. The record is from RefSeq and is a predicted model, not a curated record.